RNAcentral lists this ribosomal RNA (483 nucleotides) under uncultured bacterium. RNAcentral describes it as "partial 16S ribosomal RNA". It matches the Rfam family "Bacterial small subunit ribosomal RNA", at positions 30 to 506 of the family's 1533-position model. The record is from RNAcentral.
AUUGAACGCUGGCGGCAGGCCUAACACAUGCAAGUCGAGCGGAUGAAGGGAGCUUGCUCCUGGAUUCAGCGGCGGACGGGUGAGUAAUGCCUAGGAAUCUGCCUGGUAGUGGGGGAUAACGUCCGGAAACGGGCGCUAAUACCGCAUACGUCCUGAGGGAGAAAGUGGGGGAUCUUCGGACCUCACGCUAUCAGAUGAGCCUAGGUCGGAUUAGCUAGUUGGUGGGGUAAAGGCCUACCAAGGCGACGAUCCGUAACUGGUCUGAGAGGAUGAUCAGUCACACUGGAACUGAGACACGGUCCAGACUCCUACGGGAGGCAGCAGUGGGGAAUAUUGGACAAUGGGCGAAAGCCUGAUCCAGCCAUGCCGCGUGGGUGAAGAAGGUCUGCGGAUUGUAAAGCACUUUAAGUUGGGAGGAAGGGCAGUAAGUUAAUACCUGGCUGUUUUGACGUUACCAACAGAAUAAGCACCGGCUAACUUCGU